ACUAAGCAUAUCAAUAAGCGGAGGAAAAGAAACCAACAGGGAUUGCCCUAGUAACGGCGAGUGAAGCGGCAACAGCUCAAAUUUGAAAUCUGGCUCUUUUAGAGUCCGAGUUGUAAUUUGCAGAGGGCGCUUUGGCUUUGGCAGCGGUCCAAGUUCCUUGGAACAGGACGUCACAGAGGGUGAGAAUCCCGUACGUGGUCGCUGGCUAUUGCCGUGUAAAGCCCCUUCGACGAGUCGAGUUGUUUGGGAAUGCAGCUCUAAAUGGGAGGUACAUUUCUUCUAAAGCUAAAUAUUGGCCAGAGACCGAUAGCGCACAAGUAGAGUGAUCGAAAGAUGAAAAGCACUUUGGAAAGAGAGUCAAACAGCACGUGAAAUUGUUGAAAGGGAAGCGCUUGCAGCCAGACUUGCUUACAGUUGCUCAUCCGGGUUUCUACCCGGUGCACUCUUCUGUAGGCAGGCCAGCAUCAGUUUGGGCGGUAGGAUAAAGGUCUCUGUCACGUACCUCCUUUCGGGGAGGCCUUAUAGGGGAGACGACAUACUACCAGCCUGGACUGAGGUCCGCGCAUCUGCUAGGAUGCUGGCGUAAUGGCUGUAAGCGGCCCGUCUUGAAACACGGACCAAGGAGUCUAACAUCUAUGCGAGUGUUUGGGUGUCAAGCCCGAGCGCGUAAUGAAAGUGAACGGAGGUGGGAACCCGCAAGGGUGCACCAUCGACCGAUCCUGAUGUCUUCGGAAGGAUUUGAGUAAGAGCAUGGCUGUUGGGACCCGAAAGAUGGUGAACUAUGCUUGAAUAGGGUGAAGCCAGAGGAAACUCUGGUGGAGGCUCGCAGCGGUUCUGACGUGCAAAUCGAUCGUCAAAUUUGGGCAUAGGGGCGAAAGACUAAUCGAACUAUCUAGUAGCUGGUUCCUGCCGAAGUU
This 917-nucleotide ribosomal RNA is filed under the name Alternaria alternata. Its description in RNAcentral is "partial large subunit ribosomal RNA". It matches the Rfam family "Eukaryotic large subunit ribosomal RNA", at positions 33 to 968 of the family's 3401-position model. The record is from RNAcentral. Lineage: Eukaryota; Fungi; Ascomycota; Dothideomycetes; Pleosporales; Pleosporaceae.